GAGGGUUUGACAAAGCUCUUUUGAAGUUCUAUCUUAAUCAAGUGCGUUUUACUUUAUCUUGGACUUUUCAUUUUAUUUUUAUUUUUUCGUUUUUUUACCUUUGGGUGAUGGUUCUGUUUUUGUCCCUGUAUUUUUUGAAAUGCUUCUUUCUAUUGGGAGAGGGGCAGCAGAUAGUCCCUGUAUUUUGUUAAGGAUUUUGCACUGCAAUUUACUAGGUACUUACAGUGUAAAAACCCUUAGUUUUGCAAUGGAUUUUUACAUGUUUAAUUUCACACUGGAAUUUCUGGGGGUUAUACACUGUAAGUCUGCAUUUACAGUUUAAUUUACUAUGUAAUUUACACUGUAAGUACAUCAUUUGUCUUUGCUGCAUCUUUUACUCUGUAAAGUGUACUUUCAAUGUAAUUACACCAUUUUCUUUACUCUAGAAUUUAUGGGAAAUCUACACUUGAAAUUUCUAGGUACAAGACUAGUUACAUGGGGAUUUACACUGUAAUUUUCUAAGAUUUUACACUUGAUUUUGACUAGAUUUACACUGGAUUUGCAUGGGGAUUUUUUACACUGUAACUACAUCUUUUGUCUACAUGCUUACAGUGGAAUUACAUGAUUUACACUCUAAAUUACAUCUUUUGUCUACAUGCUUUCACUGGAAUUUACAUUGUAAUCCUAGAAUUUACACUGGAAUUAUAUGAUUUACACUGUAACUACAUCUUUUGUCUACAUGCUUACACUGGAAUUUAUGGGGAUUUAACAGUGUAUACUUUUCAUGUAAUUCCAUCAUUUCUUUACUCUCGAAUUUAUGGGAUUUUUUUACCAAAUUUCUAGGUGCAAGACUAGUUUACAUGGGGAUUUACACUGGAAUUUUUGACUAGUUUACAUGUGGAUUUACACUGUAAUUUCUAGGAUUUUACACUGGAAUUUUGACUAGUUUAAAUGGGGAUUUACACUGGAAUUUUCUGGGAUUUACACCGGAAUUUUUGACUAGUUUACAUGGGGAUUUACAAUGUAAUUUUCUGUGACUUUAGAAUGGAAUUUUGACUAGUUUAAAUGGGGAUUUACACUGUAAUUUUCUAGGAUUUACACUGAAAAUUGACUGGGUUUACAUGGAGAUUUACACUGUAAAUUCUAGGAUUUACACUAGAAAUUGACUAGUUUACAUGGGGAUUUACACCGUCUCUCCCAUGGGCGGCUCCCAGAUUUGUUCUAGCCCUGUUAGGUGAGAUCUGUCUAGUGGUUGAGGGGGGAGGGGCGUGUUUUGUGGAGGGAUUUGGUCUCUGCGUGCGUUGCAAGCUUGCUGGCAUGUGCCAUGUGAUCCCUGAUGGGGUUUGUUUGUCCAGGACGAACCGGGUGAGAUGUUUACCCGACCCGUUUAGGCGCUCUUUUCUGUUUUUUUUGGUGAUUUUGCUGCUAAUACAGAUGUAUUGUGUUGAUUGGUCAGGAAAUUUGACUGUUUUCGAAUUGAAAAACAGUCAAAUGUCAAAUAGACAGAAUAUAUGGCCUUUGAACGCACACGCAAACAAAGAAGGUUCAUGGAGCUAUUUUGUUUUAUGGGGAAGGUUCGUAGAGAUAAAUCCUGGACUCUUUUUUUUUUUUUGAGGCAACCUGCCGAUAAUGCUGGACUAGUUUCAAAAACUUUCAGCUUUGUACUUGCUGGGCCCGCCAUUACCGGUGAAGCCACAUUUGGGCUGUGGGCAGCCAGCAGCCCAGCGCAGAGAAAAAUCAUCACUCGACCCACGCUCCCCACGCCCCCACCCAUGUGGCCAUGUCGUCACUUUCCCCUUCUCGUCGAGGGUUUCCUCUGCCCUGUUACGUUCCCCACUCCAAUCCAAUGGCGACGACCAGCAACAAGAAAAUGGCGUCGCCGUCGCCUAUGCCGGACAUGCCCGACCAGCUCCUCGCCGAGAUCUUCCUCCGGCUGCCCACCCCACAAGACCUCGCCCGCGCCUCCGCCGUCUGCACCACCUUCCGCAGAAUCUCCACCGACAGGUCCUUCCUCCGCUGCUUCCGCUGCCUCCACGCGCCGCCACUCCUCGGAUUCCUCGACCGCGACGGCUUCCACCCAGCCCUACCCUCCACCCCCGCCGUCCGCGCGGUCGCCGCCGCCGCCGAUUUCACCUUCUCCUUCCUCCCCCACCACCGCCGCUGGACCGUGCAGGACGUCCGCGACGGCCGCGUCCUCCUCUCCCGCAGCACCGGAAAACUUGGGCAGCCCCCGGUCUUCAGAGAUCUCGCGGUGUGCGACCCCUUGCACUGGCGCUACGUCCUGCUCCCCCCGCUACCUCACGACCUAGCUGCUUUGCUUGGGCACCCGUUCCCCCCGGUAACCGAAGCCUGCUGCAAGCGCUUCCUCGUUCCCCUCGGCGAGGAGGAGGCAGCGGCUGGAGACACAACAUUCAGAGUCAUCUUGAUGGCGUAUUGCAAAACCAGCCUGGCUGCCUUUGUCUUCUCUUCCAGCAACGAUCAAUGGCGAGCUACUGCAUCCAAGGAUUUGAGUGAUUUGGCCCUUGACGAGGGCGACAUGGAGGAGAUGUCAAGGGUCCAGCCUUUCAUUCCCAUGCGCCAUUAUGCUUAUGGCUGUUUCUACUGGGACUGGGUGCAAUUCGGGAUGAAGAAGUUGCUCUUGCUUGACACCACGAACAUGGAGUUCUCCGCUGCUGACCUCCCACCAGGAGAAUGGAGCAAGGAAGGUAUAGCCAUUGUGGAGGCCGGGGAAGGCAGGCUCGGGAUCUUUGGUUUCCGUGGUGAACUUGCAUCCAGUCUCAGCUAUACCACUGCACGGACCAAAGGCGAGAGUCCCAGCCAGUGGCAGAUGGAGAAGACAAUCUCACUAGAUUCUGGCUACAAAUAUUGUAUCAGAGAUGCAACACAGAGGUACUUGCUCUUGACAAGGAUAGAAGCAUCAUCCCUAAAUAAUCACCUUGUUGGAUAUUUCUCAAUGGAUAUCAAGACGUUGCAGCUUCAGAGGGUUUAUGAGAAACAGCACUAUUCUAAUCAGACAUACACAUAUAUCAACUUCCCACCAUCAUUGUUGUCUUCAAGGAGAAUAUGAAGUGGUAAAGUUUCUAUUGCUUCCAAGUAUCUCCUUCACUUCAUAAUUAUCACAUGACUUGUCUAUUGCUUCAUGCUCAUUAUGGCAAUCGGUAAUUCCUGUCUUUUUAGUACUGUUUAAUUUAUUGUGCUCAUGGAAAACUAGAAAGCUCGGGAACAUAAUUGUGUUUCUUGUCUUGUUUGUCCCGGUCGCCUUUUAAAGAGAAUGGGGUUAGUAGGAGAAAUGAUCUUGUACACUACAAGUAGCUUAUGCAUGAGUGAGUCCUGAUGGAAAUCUGGAAUCGCUAAAAAUACCAGGUCAUUAUAGUUAUUUUAGAGGAGUAGUUUUGAUGAUCAAGAUAAAGUGGAAGGAAUACAACUUUAUUUCUGGUUUACCUUGAAUUGAUUCACCAUGAGAAAAUCCACUCAAGUCAAAGACAGCCCAUUUUGUACACUUUUUCUUCAGAUGUAUAAUUUUAUCUUGCGAUGUUGUUUCGAGGUAAACCUGUAUGGUCACAAAUAAGAUCCUGAGUCACUGCUGUAAAUAAGAAGAGCUUGUGCUCACAGGCAACUGAAUUGUUAUCCUGCGAUGUUGUUUUAUCUGAAUCAACCUCAUAAGAUUGAAGGGAAUGCUUAUCACGGGCAACUGAAAUUGUUCUUUAUUGCAGUCAUUGUCUCCACCACUGUUAGAUCCUCAGUAUCAUGGUUGUGCUCUGAAUCUCCAAGCAAAUCAUAUUGGUUGAGAUGAUUGACUGAAACUUAGAGUUGUCAGGUGAUUGUAUUGUUUCUCGCUGCCAACACCCUGAGCUACAUAUUCACGUAUAUGUUGUUCUAGUUUUUAUGGUGCUUGUAGCUUCAGUUAAUGAGGCUGCUGCUGUCCCAGCGUAAGAGUGAGUGUGAUCAUGAACUUUAACAGUUUCAAUCGACCAACAAUUAUGGUUGAGCUAGCUAGCUGAGGCAUAUUUCCAUGUCCCAUUUUUUUCUCAACUAGUAUUUAUUAGAGUUAUGAUCUCGUUGAGGAUGAAUACAAUACACGUUGAUUGUAACCAUUAAAAGCCUUUGCAUUCUAUCGAAAGUGAAGGAGUGCCCCUAUUUUUCUUUUUUUGAGUUUGAAGCUAGAGCUUUAUUAGUAGUAGGAAACAAGUUGGUGCAUAGCGCCCAUGAUAUCACCAGCAAUAAACUCUGGCACAUCGAACUCCCAUUUUACCCUACCAGAGCCUACAGGUUUAAUUCCAAAUUUACUUAAGCCUUGUUUGUCUGUCGACUGCCUGCAGACAGACAAGUCGCAACUGGACAAGCACAGUCGGUUGUGUGAACAAGUUUUCUGCAAUUAACUCUACUAUGCAGUUGAAAUUCUUUUUUAUUGCAGUCAAUCUCCACCACUCUGAUAUCUUGAUAUGAUGGUUGUCCUAAUCUGAGAGCAUAUCCUAUUGGUUUUGAUAUAAUUGAAUGAAUCUUAAAGAGUUUCCAGGUGAUUGUGUAUUAGCAAUUUUGUAGGAUGAAUUUGAGGGGACAACCAGUUUUCUUUUUGUUCCUUUAUGUGCAUCAGUUUGUGCCAGGAUGGAAUUAAGUUUUUCAAGACUCGUUUAUGUUGAUGUGCCUCUGUCUGGCUAUGUAUUCCAACCUUUUAAUUUAAAUUCCGAUGCUAGGCACACUGGAGCGAGUGUCUGCAGUCACAUGUUUCGAAUUCAGUUUAGAUAAAUAUUACCAAUGUGAUAAUGCUAUUAUGUAUCUUCCUCUACCUAGUUACAUAUAAUUUGUUCCUUUUAGCUCAUAAACUCUCAAAUAUGUGUGCAAUAGAAUUCUUAUUUAUUGCAGUCAAUCUCCACCAGUCCUAGGUCCCAGUAUCAUGGUUUUUCUCCUUAUCCCAAAACAAAUCAUGUUGGUCGAGAUGAUUGACUGAAACUUAAGGAGUUUUCAUACGAUUAUGUAUUAGCAAUCCUGUAAGAUGAAUUGGAGAGGGCACCUAGUUUUGUUUUUCUUUCCUUUUGGGGACUCAUUUUUGUACUUGGAUUGCUGACAGCAGCUAGUGCGUUGAUUCUUGCUACCAAUGCCCCAGUUUCUCUCCAUGUUUUGUAGUUGGAAGUUUGGUAUACUGCUAGGUGCCUGGGUAGUAUAUGAUUUCGUGCUGUCCUGUAACAUGGAGGUACCACUUCAAGUUCUUCACGACUCAUUUCUUUAUGUUGACUGGCCUGAGUGCAAACUACAAUUCUAAACACACUAAAGCGAGUGUUUGCAGUCACUUGUUUCGAAUUCGGUAAUCAAGAUUACCAAUGUGACAAGGUUAUUAAUUACUGAAACUUAAGUAGUUAUUAGGUGAUUGUGCAUUAGCAAUUCUGUAAAGACCACCCAGUUUUGUGUUCUUUCUUUUCUUGUGUGCAUUAUUUAUGUACUAUUAGGAUGGCAGUCGGCAGCUAGUAUGUUGGUUCUCACUAGCAAUACCUCGAGUUUCUUUACUCUUUUUAAGCUAGAAGUUUGUUAUACUGCUAGGUGCAUAUAUACUAGGUAGUAUGAGGACUCCUACAACACAAAUGUACCAAUUCUGUAUUACUUAAGUUUUCCACGUCUCGUUUCUUUAUGGUGUCUUGCCUCUGUCUGGCUAUGUAUUCAAACUUGUAUUACACAUUCCAGUCUAAGCACACUGAAGCGGGUGUUCGCAGUCACAUAUUUUCAAAUUCGGCUGAGACCAAUAUUACCAAUGUGACAACGCUAUUAUGCAAUUUUUCUUCUCUGGUGUCUAAACUUCUAUCUUGUCUGUUCAGGUUUGACAGAGCCGUACGUAAUCAUAUCAGCAUUCUUAAUUCAAAGCGACCAUGGUUUCAACAGCUUGGAGUUCUCACAUACUGACCACUUAGACUACAGAACAACAUGAUCUACAUUGCCUUGCUUGGUGGUGGCCAUGUCAAUGUUUCGGUUAUUAGGUCUAACAUCAAUGUGGAAUUUCCCUGCCUAAGAAUGUGACUUUGAUAUUAGGAGGUCAAGUCAAUUUUUUUUUCUUCAUUAUUAGUUAGAGUUGCUAAAACAGGUAGAAUCUUGGCAGAACGAUCACAACGGAACUGAUAACCAACGUAAGGACAAUAUAAGCAGCACCGGCAUGCAGCUGGAGGGACUUGUUCUUUGUUGUUGCUGCUGCUGCUGUACGGUGAAGGGUAGGCAGCAAAAAAGGUUUGUAGAGCUGUAGAAAGAGGUGAGUGGAAGUCCUAAAUGGUGCUCAUGUUUGGAUCGCCGAAGUACUGAUAAUUUGUGAAAUCUUGAAUAUGCUGUAUGAUCUUGAAUACUGAGUCGACAAUUUUCUCUGCUGUAUGAUCUUUUGUCCCUUUUUCUUCAGAUUUGAUGGAGCUGUAAUCAGAUCGCCCCAGCGUAAGUUGACAAUCCAAACGCAUGCUCGGCUAGUCGGCUGCAGACUGAAUCAACAUGUACACAGAUAGGAGUAGUAUAUACUACUGUCACCAAGUUGGUUGGUUUCACCUGCCUGUUAUUAGCAGCAAGAAAAAUUAAGAGAUGACUUUUGGAUCGCUUGGUCUCGGGUCCUGAGGACAAAACUGCAACCAUCAGCGCUUUCGAUUGAUUUGUGAACGCGGGUGCGGGAAUUGGCGAAGACACACUCGUUGGCGCUAUGGUCAGUUGGUCGUUUCAGAUUAGUAAAGGUGCCUCUAGCUAAACACGCUUGUCCAUAGUUUUUUAGGCGACUCUGGUCUGGUCCAUGGUUUGUAGCAUGGUGACACUAAGCUGAUCUUAACAUAUGAAGGCUUGCCCCGGGUUUGGGCUAAUCUCCGUUGUUUUGGCAUUCUGUUGCAACUUUGUGACGGUUUGCCAAUAGGGCCGAUGCUUUUCUUUUUGUUUGAUCUUCGGAUCCACCCCAUGUUAUUCUUCCGUUGCUACCUGCUAAAUCUGAAUCAAGCCAACAAAUUUGCUGGAUCUUUCCAAAAAAAACAAAACUUUGUGGCGGUUUCUUGAAGGGAAACCAAUUCGUGCUUGUUGUUUAAAAAAAACAGAUACGAAGGUUCCAAGGAGGCCCGCCAUGAAUGCAAUUUUCUCACUUAUAGCGAGAUGGUGUUCUCCUAUUUGGUGCACAGGUCGCUCGCGCCCGCGAGCGACCUGGCGCGUACCUCCCCGCACCCGCUACGUACAAAAUCCGGGCCGGUUGAAACUAGAUCCAUUCUGGUUUUGGGAAAGUUCUAAAACCUUCCUAGACAAAUUGUUUUGGUUAUGCAUGCAAUUUUUUUCUACUUUUUUUUUCAUUUCCUUUCUUUCUACAUUUUUUGUUUUUCUUAUUAUUUUUCCUUUUAAUAUAAUUUUCCUUUUUAUAUUUUUCUUCAUUUUAAUUUUUAAAUAUUUUAUUUUAUUCCCAAAUUUCACGAACAUUUUCUAAACUCCAGGCACAUUUUUUAAAAUUGGUGAACAAUUUUUCAAAUCAGGAAUUUUUUUUGGAAUUCAAAGCUUAUUUAUUGAAUUUAAAAAAUUCAUCAUAGUUUUGAAAUUGCGCAUAGUUUAAAUUCAUAGAAAAAUUUCAAAUCAGGGUGAACAUUUUUCAAUUUAAAAAUCUGUUCAUCAAAUUCAUAAAAUAUUUAUCCUAUUGGUGAAAUUGCAUAUAUUUUUUUUGAACUCAUGAACACAUUUUUUGCAUAGGCGGACUUUUUUUUUGUAAAUAGGGAAGAACUUUUGAAAUCCAUAAACAGUUUUUGUUUUUGAUGAACGUUUUUUGAAUUCAUGAAUAUUUUUUGAAUAAAUGAACAUUUUUAAAAUGUUCUAAACAUUUUCUAAAAAUUUGCAAACAAUUUUUAGGAAUUCGCAAACAGUUUUUUCAAUAUUUUUAAUAUUGUAUAAAAUUCAUGAACAUAUUUUUAAGACACGAAUCCUUUUUUUCUUCUGAAAUCACUUGUUUUUUGAAAAUCCAUGAAUAUUUUUUCCAUUCACGAUUUUUUUGGUUCAAAUUCACAAAACAAUUAUGAUUUCUGGAACAUUUUUCCAAAGUUCAGGUUUUGAAAUUUAGAAAUUUUUCAAUAUCUUUAAUUAUUUUAAGUAUUAAAUAAAAAAACAAAAAAAAGAAAGAACAUGAAAACAGAAAAGCUGGGGGCCUAAUAGGGGUGCGCGCUGACUCAUUUGCCAGCGCGUCACACGCCAUAUAUAGCGGGCGCCCCUAUAUCCCGCUUUCAGCGAGUCCAGCUUCGGACUCGCUGAAGGGGCAAGUGAGAUCGGCAGCCCAUGCAAGCGGUAGGCCACAACCUCUUUUUUAUUUUUCAACCUGAUGUUUUAUGUUUAGUUUUUUGCUUUAUUUUUGUAUUUUUAUUUCUACAUUAAAUAUUGUAAAUAUUAUAUAUAUAUAUAUAGGAUCGCGCUAUUCGUCACCCUGGGUGAGGAAUAGUUAUUCUUCACCCCUCUCUAUUUUACCAUCAAUGCACCGUAAUUUUACAUUCUGUAAGUUUUAUCUUAUUUCCGACGCAAAAAGAGACCGUAAGAAAAUAUAUAAUCGUCGUAAAAAAUAUUUUAUGUUAUGUAAAAUUACAAACGUAAAAACAUAGUCUAAAAUACACAUAAACUGCAAAUUUUCUUGUCUUAUGACCUAUAUUUUUAUUUUCUUGUGUCAAAUUUUAUGUAGUGAAUCAAUAGAAAUGUAACUAUUUGAAUUCGAAAUAUAAUUUAAUUAUGAAAUGAUCGUAAGAUUACCUCGGGUGAAGAAUAACUUAUUCUGCACCCUGGGUGAUGAAUAGUAACACUAUANNNNNNNNNNNNNNNNNNNNNNNNNNNNNNNNNNNNNNNNNNNNNNNNNNNNNNNNNNNNNNNNNNNNNNNNNNNNNNNNNNNNNNNNNNNNNNNNNNNNNNNNNNNNNNNNNNNNNNNNNNNNNNNNNNNNNNNNNNNNNNNNNNNNNNNNNNNNNNNNNNNNNNNNNNNNNNNNNNNNNNNNNNNNNNNNNNNNNNNNNNNNNNNNNNNNNNNNNNNNNNNNNNNNNNNNNNNNNNNNNNNNNNNNNNNNNNNNNNNNNNNNNNNNNNNNNNNNNNNNNNNNNNNNNNNNNNNNNNNNNNNNNNNNNNNNNNNNNNNNNNNNNNNNNNNNNNNNNNNNNNNNNNNNNNNNNNNNNNNNNNNNNNNNNNNNNNNNNNNNNNNNNNNNNNNNNNNNNNNNNNNNNNNNUAUUUGGAAAAAGCAUUACAAAAGCAUUUAAUUUGUAUUGGAAAAACGUUAGAGGUGUAUUAGAAAUAUAUUGCUGACACAUACAAGAAAUGUAGAAUAAUAACCAAAGAACAAAGAAAACCGAAACAAAAAGCAAAAUCAACAAAUUAAAAUUGUAAAUGGAAAAAAGAACAAAGUGUAAAGAAAGAAAGAAAGAAAGAAAGAAAUAAAGAAAGAAAGAAAGAAAUGGAGAGAAAAACAAAAUAAACAAAAGAAAAAGAAGCAUCUUUUUUAAAUUAGUUUUGCCAGUGAAGCAGAAUCUGGAUUUGGGCCAUUUUUAAUGCAAUUUCCUGAAGCAUCUCAAAGUGUACUUCGGUGAUGAAGUUGAUUCCCAUAGGUGAUUAAAAUCUAAGCAAAACUAAAACAAACAGGGCCUACUACUUACCAUGAAUGGGACCUAGGCGGAGUGGCUAGUAGCGCCCGGGAUCGAUCCCUAUUUCUCCCCUUUCCUCUGCUAAUUUUACUUGCUAUGCGUGCAUGAAUGGGCCGGCCCAAUACUAUGUGAAGGAAUGGAAAACCUUUAGCGAGAGCUGCUACCAACUCGCUUAAUGCGACACCAUUUUUUUUGAGAUCACACAUUUUUAUAAAAUACACAAAUAUUCUUUGAAUACACGAAAUUUUUCAACAUAAUAAAGAUUUUUUAACGCCCAAAAAUUUAUAAUUUCUGGAACAUUUGUCCAAAGUUCAGUUUUUUAAAUUUGGAACUUUUUAAAAAUUGAAACAGAAAAACUAGGGUGUUCUAGCAACGUUCAUGGGCGGGCCCAAUAGGGGUGCUGACUCGUUUGCAGGCGCGUCAUACGCCAAAUAGGAGCUCGCAGAGAGAUGAGAGAUCCUAGCUGACGCUCAUUAGCGCCAAACAAGCGAGCUCUCACGUAGGGCUAGUAAAAUCACCAAAACAUGAUGAUUUGUUGAGUAAGCCAACUCGCACCCGUACGAUAGAUGGUAUUUGCUCGUUACCAGUUGAGCUAUCAAAUGUUACUGAUUAAUAGACGUGUGAAUAUUUAAGAACUAACCGCAAUGCCAGAUAAAAAAAAUAAAAAAUUUCGACCACAGAGCAUUUUGUGAUAUAUACCGAACAAAUUUUAAAUACACAUUGAACAUUUCCCUGAUACAUGUUAAACAAUUUUUAAAUACACAUUGAACAUUUUGUGGUGUACGCUGAACAUUUUUAUAACACAUGUUCAACUUUCUCAUAAAUACAGGGUGAACAUUUUCUUAAAAUAGGAUGGACAUUUUUGUAAUACGUGGUGAACUAUUUAUAUAACACACAAAAAAGAGAACAAAAAACAAAAAACAAAAAAAGGAAAAAAGAAACAAUAAAAAUAGAACAAAAACCACUGCAAACCGCAGGAAACAUUUAAAAAUUCGGGAAGCUGCAACCAAAUGAAGAGCAGGCGCCUGUACAUGGGGCGGCCCGAACGGAGGCACGACCUUUUGAGGCAAUUCCUAUUUGGCGCUUAAGACAUCCAUUACUGUGUGUUUUGCAAACAGAUGCCCGAAGCGCCCUCACGCUAGACCGGCCCAUGUAGAUUCUUUUAUGUGUUUUAAUCCUGACAAAAAAAUGUGUGCUAAUUUUCAAUCAAACCAGCGACCUCCCUCAUCAAGAUAAGUGAUGCAACCGCACCGCCACAUAGCGGGAUCAGUAAGUUACAACUUUUUCCUUCUUUUAUUCUUCCUUGUUUUAAUCCCAACAAAAAAAUGUGUGCUAAUUGUCAAUCAAACCAGCGACCUCCCUCAUCGAGAUAAGUGAUGCAACCACACCGCCACAUAGCGGGAUCAGUAAGUUACAACUUUUUCCUUCUUUUAUUCUUUCUUGUUUUUGUUUUUUCCCUUUCCCUUUCCUUUUCCCCUUUUUUCUUUUUCCUUUCUUGUUCAACGAAUUGUUUGCAAAUACGUGAACUUUUUCUUCAAAUUGAUGAUUAUUUUUUAAAAUUUUCAAAUUUGAUGAACAUUUUUCAAAUUCAAUGAUUUCCCCCCCAAAUUUGAUGAAUUUUUUAAAUUUAGUGUUUUUUUAAAUCUUCGAACUCCUUUCCAUUUUCGAUGAACAUUUACAGAAUUUGGUGAAUGUUUUCAAGUAUAUAAGCAUUUUUCAAAAACAUGAUUGUUUUUCAGAAUUUGAGAACAUUUUUUAAUUCAGAAUUUUUUUUCAUUUGCAAUUGAUUUCCCUCUAAUUGGCCCGCCCACUGGCGUUUGAACAUUAUUUGUUUUCUUUCCUGGUUCUUGUUAUUUUUUCUUUUUCCGUUCGGUUUUCUUUGCUUUCUCUUUUUGUUUCUUUGUAGAUUUUCACUGGGUUUCCUUUUUUUAGCAAACAUCUAGUUUUAUUUAGUACAAUUUAUACAUUUUCAGUGCACAUUUAACCAAUUUUUGAUAUAUGUGGAACUUUUUUCAAGUACACAAUGUGCAUAUUAAUUUUAAUACAUGUUUUGAACACUUUUUUGAAUACACUGUCAUGAUUUUCUCAAAUACAUUUUAAAAUUUUUAUGUUAAUAAUUUUUUUCUAUACUAAGCUAACAUUUUUUUACAUUGUUUAAAUAUUUUUGUCAAAUGUCACAAAAAUUAUUUUUGGAUCACGAGACCAUUUCUUUAGUAUGAUACAUACAUUAUUUGUUGGGACUUCCUCCGAUCCAUAUUAUUUCUCUUAAAUUUGUCUAUAUAUGGACGUAUUCAAACACGUUUUAGUGUUAGAAUACAUUCAAAUCUAAGACAAAUAAUACGGACGGGAGGGAAAACAUUUUUAUACUAUACAAUCAUUUUUUACAUUGUAUUAAAAUUUAUGAAAAAAUCACAUUGGUUUGUUUGAAACACAAGAUUUUUUUUCAUGUCAAGAACAUUUUUUAUAAAAAAAUUACACCAUGUUAACACUUUUUUUCUUCAAAUUGACGGGAUUCGGUUUUUUAAUUAAAUCUAAAACUUUAAUAUAUAUUCAUUUAAAGUAUAAAUAAAAUAGAAAGAAAAGUAAGUAAAAAAGUGCGACGCCAGCGGGGCGGGCAAGCCCAUGUCAUGCCUGCGCGAAGCGUUAUUGCUGUGCUUGAUUGUCCCACUAUGGCUCCGCUUGACGCGAGGCUGCCCUACCUCUCGCUAUAAGUAAGAUAUAGGGGUGCCCCAUCCAUCUCAAAAUCUAAAACCUGCGUAUUCUGAAGCUGGACGAUGACAGAAAUGUCCUAGAAGGACCGAUUCAGGCCAACUCAGAGAAGAUGGGUCCAUCAGAUAUGGGAAUGAUGCUAAUACACCGAGCUUUCUUCGAAACACCAUUGUUUUUCUACUCGCAUUUAGGUGGUUGUUGUGUAGUAAGCAUUAUGCAAUCACCUUGUUCUUGGGUGCAGCUAUGUGCUGCUUAUAGCGAGGUGCAUGGAUGCCGCUUAUUUCAUGGUGGGCCAGCCCAGUAGCAUGUGGCUCGUCCUGUCUACGUCAGCCUAAUUUCAUUUUUCUUCUUAUUUUACUUUUAUUUCUAUUUUAAUAUAAGUGCAUAUAAUUUAGAACAUAACUUUAGUUAGUAAAUUUAAAAAAAAUAUUGUAAAAAGCCUUAUCAUAGUAUAAAAAUUUGUUAGCAUGGUUUUAGAAAAUGUUGAUAACUUAAAAUUAAUGUUAAAGACAAUGAAAGAAUGUUCCGCUGUUUCGAAAAAUGUAUGUGGUUUCAAAAAUAUUGUGUAUACAAUGUAAAAGAAUAUGUUUGCUAAUAUAAAAAAUGUUUCGUGUCAUUAAAAAAAUGUAUGUCACAUUUGAUGAAAAUACUCCCACGUUUCAAAAAAUGUUCGUUUCUAGUAUUUUUCGUUCACGAGAGUCACGGUUUUGCUUCCGCGAGAAGAACGGUUGUGCUUUCGAGAGAGUCACGGUCGUGCAUCUCGAAAACGAAAAAAAACGCGUUUUUUGUUUUUUUCCUUCCAUGAGAGGCACGGUUGUGAUUUCGCGAGAGGCACGUGCGUGCCUCUUUCGGAAAGGAAAAACAACCGCGCUCCCGGUUCGGUUUUUUCGCCCGGUUUUUUGCGUUCGGUUUUUUUCGUGAUUUUUUUUGUCAAAACCUAUCAAUAUGGGAUCUAGUUUUGAAGAUCUCAACGCGAGGAAUCCAAUAAUGAAAACGGUUCGAGAUUUGGACGCACGGUUUAAGAGAUAAAACAUUUUAAAUAAACAGAUCUACGAAAAAAGGGAAAACUCACAGGUUGCGACAAGUGGCGCGCUGUAUGUGCGCCACUUGAUGCGACCUGAAAAAGUAAAGUAUUCUUUGCAACGAGUAUUCCUUAAUUAGUUUUUUUGAGACAAAGUAUUCCUUAAUUAAUUAGUGAUUUCGCAGAGAAAGAACCUAUGUGCGAUAUGAACGGCAGCAAACCAAGCGCGCUAAUGGGCCUGCCCGCGAGUCGUCGCCCGUAGGCCUUUCCUAUUAGAAAAUCGGUAGCUCUAGUGCUUGCUCCACGCCGGCUGAAUUAACCUGUUUCGCUCAAAGAAAAUGGUUGAUUGGCGAAAUUACUAAUUAAGGGUUGCUCCUCGUAAAUAUUACUCCUACCUUCUCAGGCGAAGACAAAUGAUGCGUUGAAUGCGCGCCACUUCUCGCAACCAGAGUGUUUCCUUUUUUCCUUUAGAUUUGUUUAUUCAAAAUAUUUUAUCUUUUGAACAAUGCGUCCAUAUCCUGAGUCAUUUUAACUGUUAGAUUGCUCGCAUCGAGAUCUUCAAAACUAGAUCCAACUUUUGUAGGUUUUGGCAAAAAAAAUCAUGAAAAUAAAGCCCCAAAAAACAAUAAACAAAAAAUUGAUAAAAAAGGAAACAAAAAAACCAAUGACAUAAAAACAAUAGAAGGAAAAAACCGAAGUAGAAAGCACGAUUGUGACUUUUCACUUUUUUCUCU
Molecule: long non-coding RNA, 14029 nt
Filed under: Triticum aestivum (bread wheat)
Lineage: Eukaryota; Viridiplantae; Streptophyta; Magnoliopsida; Poales; Poaceae
Description: long non-coding RNA (TAES_LNC014359)
Source: RNAcentral